GCCUUAUGGAUUCAUUUGGUAGAAUAUGUGACUCUUGAUCUCAGGGUUGUGAGUUCAAGCCCCACAUUGGACA
This 73-nucleotide transfer RNA is filed under the name Mustela putorius furo (domestic ferret). It matches the Rfam family "tRNA". From Rfam's summary of the family: Transfer RNA (tRNA) molecules are approximately 80 nucleotides in length. Their secondary structure includes four short double-helical elements and three loops (D, anti-codon, and T loops). Lineage: Eukaryota; Metazoa; Chordata; Mammalia; Carnivora; Mustelidae. The record is from Rfam by way of RNAcentral.